GAUCAUGGCUCAGGACAAACGCUGGCGGCAUGCCUAACACAUGCAAGUCGAACGAGGAUAGCAAUAUCCGAGUGGCGAACGGGUGAGUAACACGUGAGCAACCUGCCUUACACAACGGGAUACCUACUGGAAACAGUAGUUAAUACGGUAUAAGACCACAGUACCGCAUGAUACAGUGGUAAAAGAUUUAUCGGUGUAAGAUGGGCUCGCGGCGCAUUAGCUAGUUGGAGAGGUAACGGCUCACCAAGGCGACGAUGCGUAGCCGACCUGAGAGGGUGAUCGGCCACAUUGGGACUGAGAUACGGCCCAGACUCCUACGGGAGGCAGCAGUGGGGAAUAUUGGGCAAUGGAGGAAACUCUUUAACCCCAGCAAUGCCGCGUGAACGAAGAAGGUCGUAAGAUUGUAAAGUUCUUUAGUCAGGGACUAAUAAAUGAAGGAUCUGAAGAAUAAGCUCCGGCUAACUACGUGCCAGCCGCAGC
RNAcentral lists this ribosomal RNA (480 nucleotides) under uncultured bacterium. RNAcentral's name for it is "bacterial SSU rRNA". It matches the Rfam family "Bacterial small subunit ribosomal RNA", at positions 15 to 518 of the family's 1533-position model. The record is from RNAcentral.